Molecule: ribosomal RNA, 170 nt
Filed under: uncultured beta proteobacterium
Lineage: Bacteria; Pseudomonadati; Pseudomonadota; Betaproteobacteria
Description: partial 16S ribosomal RNA
Rfam family: Bacterial small subunit ribosomal RNA
Source: RNAcentral
CGGAUUUGGAUGGGGGAGCCUGAUCAGCCUGCCGCGUGAGUGAUGAAGGCCUUCGGGUUGUAAAGCUCUUUCGGCCGGGACGAUGCGACGGUCCCAUACAGGAGGCCCCGGCUGGUUCCGGGCCAACAACCGCCGGCUUACUACGUGCCAGCAGCCGCGGUAAUAAGGGG